Molecule: ribosomal RNA, 571 nt
Filed under: uncultured marine bacterium
Lineage: Bacteria
Description: bacterial SSU rRNA
Rfam family: Bacterial small subunit ribosomal RNA
Source: RNAcentral
AUACGCCCGUCCCGCCGCCCCCGCCCGCCUACGGGAGGCAGCAGUGGGGAAUAUUGCACAAUGGGGGAAACCCUGAUGCAGCCAUGCCGCGUGUGUGAAGAAGGCCUUCGGGUUGUAAAGCACUUUCAGUUGUGAGGAAAGUUUAGUAGUUAAUACCUGCUAGAUGUGACGUUAGCAACAGAAGAAGCACCGGCUAACUCCGUGCCAGCAGCCGCGGUAAUACGGAGGGUGCGAGCGUUAAUCGGAAUUACUGGGCGUAAAGCGCACGCAGGCGGUCUGUUAAGCUAGAUGUGAAAGCCCCGCGCUCAACGUGGGAGGGUCAUUUAGAACUGGCAGACUAGAGUCUUGGAGAGGGGAGUGGAAUUCCAGGUGUAGCGGUGAAAUGCGUAGAGAUCUGGAGGAACAUCAAUGGCGAAGGCAACUCCCUGGCCAAAGACUGACGCUCAUGUGCGAAAGUGUGGGUAGCGAACAGGAUUAGAUACCCUGGUAGUCCACACCGUAAACGCUGUCUACUAGCUGUUUGUGGAUUUAAUCCGUGAGUAGCGAAGCUAACGCGAUAAGUAGACCGCCU